UGUGAGGGCAAGGAGUGGUGGCCACCACUCUCCUCGCCGAAAAAUAAGACUGGAGCAGUGGUUCAGCCCCUUCCCUCGCCGGAAAACUCAGCCCCAGUGCCCCUCCCAUGGCUGAUUUCUGGUGUUCUGCUGCUGCUGCGCAGAAUUGAAUCUGAUUACCAAUUUUAUUUUAUUUUUUUAAAUCUAGGCCAAAAUGACGUUGUUUUGGUCUUGUAACAAAAAAAAUCAAACGAAACAACGCCAUUUCGUAUAUGUUUGAAGAAAAAAUAUAUGUAUAAAUAUCCCCCUUUCCCCAUUCUCUAUCUUCUUCAGUAAGAGGCUUUGCCAAUCAGAGACAGAGAGCAAAGUGCUCUUCCCCCCCCCCCCCAAAUUCCCAGCAGCAAGUUCCAUUUGGCUUUUUGCUUCCACGCCAGCCACUCCUCCAAGCUCCAACCACUCUUUAGCCGCCAGCUGCAGCCAUUCUUUAGAAUCUUAUGGUAAUGCACUAAUAUGGUUAUUGGUGAGGCUAUAAAAGAUGAAAUUACCAUCAGGAGAAGCUUCCUUUUAUAAGUCUUGAAUGGAAGUAGAAAGAAAUAAUUCAUAUUGCACAUCAUGCCGAAGCUCAUACAUAUUCUCAUGAACACACAUCAAUUUCGUUUUAAAAAAUUACACAUGGAUUUCAAGAGAAUCUAAUAAUCCACCAAUAAACUAAUCUCAAGCAAAAGAGUUCAGCCAUAAAUUUUACCUCCAUAGUAAUAGGCAGUAGGUAGAUAAGCGUUCAGGAGAUAGCAUAUAGCGGAUGUACGAAAUCAUGUAACAAAGGGGUAACAGAGUGCUUGAUGGGAUAUGUCCAUUUGCAUUAUUGAUUUACUGUGUGAUUCCAAGGUCUUUUUGGUUCAGCAUAGAGAAGAUCAAAUAAAACUCCAGAUUACCUGUUGUUGGAAACAA
RNAcentral lists this small RNA (927 nucleotides) under Malus domestica (apple). Its description in RNAcentral is "sRNA MD13G0226200". Lineage: Eukaryota; Viridiplantae; Streptophyta; Magnoliopsida; Rosales; Rosaceae. The record is from RNAcentral.